RNAcentral lists this ribosomal RNA (407 nucleotides) under uncultured bacterium. Its description in RNAcentral is "partial 16S ribosomal RNA". It matches the Rfam family "Bacterial small subunit ribosomal RNA", at positions 30 to 526 of the family's 1533-position model. The record is from RNAcentral.
AUUGAACGCUGGCGGCGGGCCUAACACAUGCAAGUCGAACGGCGCGGCGGAAGGGUAAGUACUACCUGGGAAUCUGCCUGGUAGUAGGCGAUCACGUUCGGAAGCGUAACCUAAUAACGCAUACUAGCAAGUGGCCUUCGGUCGGAUUAGCUAGUUGGUGAGGUAAUGGCUCACCAAGGCUACGAUCCGUAACUGGUCUGAGAGGAUGAUCAGUCACACUGUAACUGAGACACGGUCCAGACUCCUACGGGAGGCAGCAGUGGGGAAUAUUGGACAAUGGGCGAAAGCCUGAUCCAGCCAUGCCGCGUGUGUGAAGAAGGUUUUCGGAUUGUAAAGCACUGUAGGUUGGGAAGCGUUAUCGACAGAGUAAGCCACGGCUAACUCUGUGCCAGCAGCCGCGGUAAUUC